CCAGAGUGCACACAAGGAGGGCACCAGAGCGAAGGAGAAGAGGGCAUCCAAGCGGAACAGAAGCCCAGUGGGAUAGGAAGACGGGCGCCAUUCAAGAGAAUUGAGUGUGCAGUAAAGAGGAUCUGGGCUGACCAACAGUGUCUUCCACAGAUACACUUGCUAAUUCACGCAUGGAAGACCCAGAGUGUAUCACUCCCCUCAACUGCUGGACUACUGUGCUGCAAACUUUGAGUCAGAAUGAUGAGCUUCAGUCAGGCAUAUCAUGGCUCCUGAACAGGAUUUUGAGAGCAAGAUUCUGUGCCUCCCUCAUCCUGCUGCAGCCUCUCAGUGCAUCUAGGUGUUUCUGCUUCCAUUGUACAUAUCUAUCAAAAUAAAAUUGUUAUAAUUAAACAAACAAAUAAAUAGAUAAAUAGAUCUGGUGGCAAAUGAGCAGCAACUCCUCCCCACUCCCAACAUAAGUUAAAGUUUGAGUUUCAGCAACAGAUGUAGGAUCAGAAAACAAAUGUUUAAUAUGUUCUGUUGCAUUAGAGCGGUACAGGUUGGCAAGUCCUUAGAAACCACCUAAUUCCACCCCUUCAUUUUACAGAUAAGCAAACUGAGGCCCAUUGAGGCUU
This 614-nucleotide long non-coding RNA is filed under the name Homo sapiens (human). RNAcentral describes it as "HSALNT0389410". Lineage: Eukaryota; Metazoa; Chordata; Mammalia; Primates; Hominidae. The record is from RNAcentral.